This 493-nucleotide ribosomal RNA is filed under the name uncultured bacterium. RNAcentral describes it as "partial 16S ribosomal RNA". It matches the Rfam family "Bacterial small subunit ribosomal RNA", at positions 28 to 506 of the family's 1533-position model. The record is from RNAcentral.
GACGAACGCUGGCGGCGUGCUUAACACAUGCAAGUCGAACGGUGAAGCGCCUUCCUUUUUGGUGGGUGUGGAUGAGUGGCGAACGGGUGAGUAACACGUGAGUAACCUGCCCCCUUCUUCUGGAUAACCGCAUGAAAGUGUGGCUAAUACGGGAUAUUCUGGGUCUGUCGCAUGAUGGGUCUGGGAAAGAUAUUGUUUCGGUGGGGGAUGGGCUCGCGGCCUAUCAGCUUGUUGGUGGGGUGAUGGCCUACCAAGGCGGUGACGGGUAGCCGGCCUGGGAGGGUGGGCGGUCCACCGGGGACUGGGACCCGGCCCAGCACCCGCGGGGGGGGAGCGGGGGGGAAUAUUGACCAAGGGGGGAAAGCCUGAGGCAGCGACGCCGGGUGGGGGAUGGGGGCCUUCGGGUUGGGAACCUCUUUCGCCAGUGAAGCAGGCCUGCCUUUUUGGGGGGUGGGUUGGCGGUAGCGGGAUAAGAAGCGCCGGCAAACUACUU